RNAcentral lists this small RNA (429 nucleotides) under Drosophila pseudoobscura pseudoobscura. Its description in RNAcentral is "GA31570". The record is from RNAcentral. Lineage: Eukaryota; Metazoa; Arthropoda; Insecta; Diptera; Drosophilidae.
UAGAAUAUUUCUCAUCAAUAUGUUUAAAAUAAUGGGAAGCAUUUUGCAACAUGGUCCGUACAUAUGUUUUACGGAUAAAGAUAAUAAGCUCGUAUACGGAAUAUGGCUCCUAGAGGCCCUGGUGCAACGAUCCAAAGGAGAAGAAUUCAAGGGAAAAGGACAAAGCACUGGGAAAACGAUAAGGAAUAGUCAGGCUCGUGGAAAUUCAGCAGCUCGCCAGAAGGAGGUAAUCGACGUAAGAAGACCCCAUGCCCCAGCCGCCAGAGUGAAGUACGUUUAGCGACAACUGCUUCUGAAAAUAAAGGAACCUUUAGUUGGUUCCACAUAAAUAAUACCAAACAUACUAGGAUGAGGAACCGAACACCCAUAGAUUUAAGAGUUACAUAAGCCGGGAAAUUCGUUAAGCAUCAAACCAAACUGAUUUUGAGA